This 793-nucleotide ribosomal RNA is filed under the name uncultured bacterium. RNAcentral describes it as "bacterial SSU rRNA". It matches the Rfam family "Bacterial small subunit ribosomal RNA", at positions 8 to 796 of the family's 1533-position model. The record is from RNAcentral.
AGAGUUUGAUCCUGGCUCAGGAUGAACGCUAGCGGCAGGCUUAAUACAUGCAAGUCGAGGGGCAGCAUAAGUAGCAAUACUUGAUGGCGACCGGCAAACGGGUGCGGAACACGUACGCAACCUUCCUUUAAGCGGGGAAUAGCCCGGGGAAACCCGGAUUAAUACCCCAUAAUAUAUUGAGAAAGCAUUUUCUUUUUAUUAAAGAUUUAUCACUUAAAGAUGGGCGUGCGCCUGAUUAGGCAGUUGGCGGGGUAACGGCCCACCAAACCUACGAUCAGUAACUGGCGUGAGAGCGCGACCAGUCACACGGGCACUGAGACACGGGCCCGACUCCUACGGGAGGCAGCAGUAAGGAAUAUUGGUCAAUGGACGCAAGUCUGAACCAGCCAUGCCGCGUGGAGGAUGAAGGUCCUCUGGAUUGUAAACUUCUUUUAUUUGGGAAGAAAUGUGAAUUUUCUAUUUCACUUGACGGUACCAGAUGAAUAAGCACCGGCUAACUCCGUGCCAGCAGCCGCGGUAAUACGGAGGGUGCAAGCGUUAUCCGGAUUUACUGGGUUUAAAGGGUGCGCAGGCGGAUAUGUAAGUCAGUGGUGAAAUCUCUAGGCUUAACCUGGAAAUUGCCGUUGAUACUAUAUAUCUUGAAUGUUGUGGAGGUAAGCAGAAUAUGUCAUGUAGCGGUGAAAUGCUUAGAUAUGACAUAGAAUACCUAUUGCGAAGGCAGCUUACUACGCAGAUAUUGACGCUCAUGCACGAAAGCGUGGGGAUCAAACAGGAUUAGAUACCCUAGUAGUCC